Molecule: long non-coding RNA, 5278 nt
Filed under: Homo sapiens (human)
Lineage: Eukaryota; Metazoa; Chordata; Mammalia; Primates; Hominidae
Description: HSALNT0274221
Source: RNAcentral
GGGCUCAGAUGGGUCGGUAGAUUAUACGGUCACCCUUGUCAUGUCGGAUUAUGAACAAAAUUUCAAGAGCUGCCUCCCUUCAACAAACCCACUGUGCAAAAACCCAUCUUCCUAGUCAAGCAAAUUAGGAAGAGAUUAUUCAUUUUCCAAAAGACUUUUCCUUUGGCCAGGAAAGAACACCCUUAGUUUGCCAGAAAAUCCUGCCAGCCGCCUCCCUGAGUGCAUGGACUGCUAGAUUCCGUUUUGUAAAAUCGAGACAGCGGCUCAGGCGCACAUGCAGUGCGUGGAGUGCAGAAGGCCUGGGUACUCCGGAAGCUUCCAGAGACAGCGUGGGGCGGCUGACGUGCGGGGAGACACAGACGUGGAGGACGCCACGGCCGCCUCGCCCCCAGGGCUCCCGGAGCGCGGCUGGCUGAGGAGCCAAGCAGAUGGUGCUGCUGAGCGUUUCCUGCCUGGGCGGGAGGAGGUGGGGUUGCCGCCGGCGGGGCCUGUGACUGUGAGUGCGGCUCGCUGAGCAGCUGAUGUGGGGGGUAGGGGGGGCGCGGAUUACGCCAUGUGUGACGGCAGAGGGGGGACAACGUGUCGAGAGACGUGGCCUUGGAUGUAAGGAAGGGUCGUGAGAAAAUACGCAGGAAGAGAUACCCCGUGGACAUGUUUCCCUUGGAAAGUGGAGGGAACCCUCUGAGCCGUGAUUCCGCCUGAAUUAAGCAGUGGCGGGCACUGGCCUGGCAGGCGGCUUCUACUGCCUUGGAUUUGCACCUCUAAGGGGUCACAGGGGCCACCCCCGAAACAAGACAAAGUGUGAUCAUGGACAGGCCCUCGGGGGGCCGGAAGAAGGAACGGCUCCAGUGAUGAAAGCUGAACGCCAGCUCUCUCCCCAUCGUUCUCCCGGACCAGGAGAGGGCUGCUCGGCAGGGCUAGGUUUAAAAACCUUCCAUGCAACUUACGAAGGCAUCCACAGUGACUUCUGCUGCUGUGGUACGUUCUGCCCUCCCCUCCUCCCCGCCCCAUCCUGUUCUCGGCUACAAGUUAUUUAUAUGUACAGUGUCAUCUGAACGUGCACGGGCCUAUCCCAGGACAUCACACACAAAGAGGCGGCGGUGAACCCAAGCCGCCGGGCCGGCCUGUGGCUCAGUGUGUGUUUCAGAAGUCCCGGCCCCAGGCAGCUCUCCUGAACAGAGCCACUGGAACUCAGGAGGGUCAGGACCACAGCCCAAACAACUGCGACCGAAAACACCCUACAGGGCUUGAGAACUAAAAAAUAAGGAGGGAUCUGGGCAGCCGAGCUGCCUCCUAAAGAAGCCACGUCAUAGAGAAAACUGCUUGCUCUAUCCAUGAGACGGAGGCGGCCGGGGUGUCCUGCCAGCAGACACGGGUCUGUCCAUCACCGGCCACCACGCUGCCUCUGUCCUUCACUCCCAUUUAAGGGAAAACGAUAUCUCUUCAUCUUUCUGCCCUGGACAUUGGAAAUCAGCGGAAGAGUCUCUCCCUUUUGCAAACGCCAGCCACAGAGGUUUAUUUUUCUCCCUGAGAGAAGGAAGAGUGAAGGCUGAGACUGAGACAGAAGGACAGAAGGAGAAGACUUAGAAGCCAGUGAGCCCGGAACCACGAGACGCGCUCUGAGGACACGGGGCCUCGGGGAAACCGGGCACGGGCAGGGGUUGGUCUUGGCUUCCCCGCAACAUUGCCGCGAGCUCGGGUGCCGUCUCCACUCGCAGGCUGGCCUGUCCUCUGCAGCCACGAGCUCAGGCACCGUCUCCGUUCAUAGGCCAGCCUGUUCUCUGCAGCCUGAGGUCCCUGUGGUGCCAACAUCCAGAUGCUGAGAUAAUUCUGCCAGGGUGUUGGCUGAUCGGUGAUUGGUGGUUGGCUGUUCCGUGAGUUCUGCAUUGAUCUUGCUGGCUGAGCGUCCAAUGCGGAGGGGCAGGUGCUGUUAGGGUCUCCACUCCCAUCCCUCUCCCCAGGACUCAUCACCCACUGCAACCGUAAGCUGCUAGGGGCUCACAGCCGUGAGUCUUUGGGACGGGUGGUCCCACCUGGCAUGUAGCUCAGGCUCCUAGCCCCAGGACCCUGCCGCUGCUCCCCUCCCGCCCACAUCUUGGCUUAGCCGUCUUCCCUGGCUGCCAGCCCCUUCCCCUGGUCUUAGUUGGCUUGAGCCACUAAACUGAAAUAGCACACCCUGAGGCCUUCAACAGCAGACCUGAUUUCUCACCAUCUGGAGGCUGGAGGUCCAGGAUCCAGGCCCCCAAGGCUGCUUUCUCCCCCACUCCCCCACCCACCUUCCAGGACACGCAGACUCCACCCUCUUGCUGCCCUGUCUCAGGGCUGUCCCUCUGGGCAAGCAGGCCCCUGGCAUCCCCGUGUGUCUUCUCCUCCUGUUCUUAUAAGGACACCAGUCAUACUGGAUCUGGGCCCACCCUAGUGACCUCAUUUACCUUAAUCACCUCUGAAAGACCUUGUCUCAAAAACAGCCACAUUCUGGGGCACUGAGGGUUAGGGCUUUAACAUGGGAAUUUGAGGGAUGCAAUUCACCCCAUAAAACCCAGACCAUUCCCCCAGUAAAUCACUUUCACAAGAGCUCUUCUCUCAGGCUUUGCUUCUGGGGGAUCCCCCUUGAGAUGGAUCCAUCUAGCUUCCUGCUUCUCAAAGAACAGAGGGGAGAGCUCUGGUGCGAAGGGAACGGGUGGCCUCGGGGACCUGCGGAUAAGCUGCUGGCACUGCCAGGGGACAGGCUGAGCUGAAAGCCAGGAGGAGGGCGGCGAGGCCCGGGGCCGGACCUCAUUCUUCUGAGUGUUAUAAAAUCUGGCUUUGCUCAGAAACUGCCCCAUGUGUGCUUUUGUUAAUUGAAGUGCAAAAUUUUCUCCAAGUAAUAACUGGAGUCGUUUAACAAUACAAAUAAUUUGCACCUUAAUUUGGUCGAUGGCACAAUUGCUAAUUCCUAGAGACUCAGAGGAGCAAAGUGAUCACGAAUUCCAAGAGUGGAAACAAAUCCAUUCCGCAAAUUUCACCCUGGCUUCUUCCUCGCCGGCCUGGGAGCUGCCCCGAGGGUCCUGGAACCUUCAGCUGCUUCCGGGCUCAGCCGGUGUCGUGGGGAGCCAGGUCCUGUGGUGGCUCCCAGCCCCAAAGCUGACUCUGCGUGGGACAACAAACGGUUUAAUUAACCUCUCAGCUUUUUCAUCUGUGAAGCGGAGCUUGGGAUGCUUGCCACCGGACCAGGAGGCCACGAAGACGGAUGUUAGAAAACCUCUGUGCCAGUGACGAAAGACAUCGAAGCUAUAAUACCCUGUUAGGCAAAGCAAGAAGAUAACUCAUACAUGCAGGAGACAGUCUCCUUGUGCAGAGGGGCCUUUGGAACCGAUGUAUGGUGGAGCCCUGAGAAACCUGAAGCUGUGUAGAGCCUGCAGCCCCCGCCCCACGUCCCAAAGCGAUGUGGCCUGGGGAGCUCUUGUCCUGCCCUUUUUGGACACCCCCCUUCUUUGAGGGCAUCUUUCUUCUUAAAGGUGUUGGGGCGGGAGUAGGUGGGGGUCUAGCUUUGCUGAUUUCCUUGUAAGUGCAUUUUAUUAUUAUUAUUAUUAUUAUUAUUAUUAUUAUUAUUAUUUUGAGACAGAAGCUCGCUCUGAUGAGCGAGAUUCAAAAUUAUUAUUUUGAGACGGGGUUUCACUAUGUUGGCCAGGCUGGUCUCGAACUCCUGACCUCAGGGAUCCACCCACCUCGGCCUCCCAAAGUGCUGGGAUUACAGGCAUGAGCCACUGCGCCCAGCCAAGUGCAUUGUUUUUAAAAGGGGUAAAUCAUCUAGUGAAACCCCAUCUCUAUUAAAAUACAAAAAUUAGCCAGGCCUGGUGGUGCACACCUGUAGUCCCAGCGACUCCAGAGUCUGAGGCAGGAGAAUCGCUUGAACCUGGGAGGCGGAGGUUGCAGUGAGCUGAGAUCGCGCCACUGCUCUCCAGCCUCGGUGACAGAGCGAGAUUCCGUCUCAAAAUAAUAAUAAUAAUAGUCUGUCUCUGUGUGUUUAAUUACAAGUAACUAACUAGUUACUGUUGCAACUCAUUUAUUUGGGGACAGGCUCCUAUCUAGUGUCCCACCACGAUAUUAUUUGGGCCAGGAAAGACAUACACAACCGAUGAAAGGCUGGGAGCUGAAUCUUAGUGCUAAAGAUUCGCUGUGGGAAAGCACAGAGCCUAGGAGUUUGCUAAGGGCCUGGGCUCCUACAGGCAGGCACCGCUGACUGAUAGCCAGAAGAUUCUAGACUCCCAGGCCACCUGUGCUCAGAGUCAGCAAUGCGCGUUUCUCUGUCCGUAAGUCAGCGGUGCGGGUCUCUGUGUGACUGUGUCAGGGUGCUCUUGGGAAGAGGGGUGAGGGGCUGUGGGCCUCGAGCUGACGGGACGGGCAGGAAGGCUCACCUACCGAGGACAGCAAGUCAGAGCCAACAGGGGAGCCCUCCGGGGAAAGGGCUUUCAAGCCCUGGCACCACCAAGGUUUCAACCAAGAGACGUUGAACCAGGUUCCAGUAGACAACCCGCUGUCAGGGUGCACAGACUGUGGAAACCAGUGAGAAGUCCUCUUCCUGUACAACACGGUGGCCAGUGCAUGGCUGCAGACCUCAGCCAAAAGCCCACAGCCAGGCCAGCAGUUACAGGCGGCAGCCGGUCUCUUGUCUUCCCAAGGCCCCAGCAGCUCUGUCCUUCCACACAGCCCCUGCUGACGGCCAUCGUUGGUAUGGACACAUCAGGCCUCCAGGCUGCUGCAGGGCCUGUCCCUGGUGGCAGCUGUGACAUUAGUCAUCGAGGGGCUCCCCUGGCCUCCCCUGGCUGGCUGGGAGUGAGGUGACAUAAAUAGACUGAGCAGGUAGCUCUGCAGACCACGGGAUCACCAGCGUCCCUUGUGGCCAGUGUGGCUUUAAAGUGUGUCCCAGAGGUGGCUCUUGAGGCAGUCUUGCUGGACUGUUAUUAGGCACAUCUGCUCCAGGGAGUGCCCAUUCAUUAUGGCCAAAUAAGCAGGCAUAGGCGCCGGCCCCAGACGAGGUCUCUGGGGAACUCCAGGGGUGGGAGAGCCACCCUCUCCAGCGGCCUCAGGGCCCCGGUGCUCGGAAGCCUGGCUCCUCUGGCUUGAGCUCAGGUCUACAGCGAGCAGGGAGUCUUCCUACUGCUGCUCCAAGCUGCCUGGGCCAGCUGUGUUCGCCGAGGGGGCUGCCGGCUCACCACUGCCUGCCUUGAGUGCCAGGGUCUUUUGUGAAAUAAUCAUGUUACUCAAGUUCAGUCCUUGAAUAAAUAGCACAUUUUUG